UAUGUUAAAGUGUAAGAUGCACAUAAGUUUUUGAUACUUAAAGAAACAGUUUAAUUCUGUUAUACAUAA
Molecule: transfer RNA, 69 nt
Filed under: Formosatettix qinlingensis
Lineage: Eukaryota; Metazoa; Arthropoda; Insecta; Orthoptera; Tetrigidae
Description: tRNA-Gln
Source: RNAcentral